UAAGCCAAAAGAUAAGAAACAAAGCGUGCCGUUUAAAAGUAAGAAAAGGAGGAGACAGAACUGAGCUGUCGUGUACAGCUUUUAUCCAUCACUGUUUCAAGGCAUAUCUCUGGUAAAAAGAAAGAAGUCAGAAAUAAAAAGAGAACCAAUGCCACGCUGAGGACGCAGGAAUGAGAAAAGUGAGAAGGUAACAAGCAAAUUGUUGAGCAAACAUUUGGUUUCAAAAGAAGAGUGUCAGAGGAAGUGUAAAUACACUUGGCAGUAUGUAUGCAAUUACACUAAAGCAGAAUAUAAAUACAGCCCGGUUUGGCUUAGUGAAAAAACAAACAUGCAUAUCAAAAACACUUCAUGCUCAAUUUGAAGCCCCCAAGACUAUACAAGUUCAAUAUAAAGUGUGUCUUUUUUAAAAGUAUUCAAAUUAUGGGCAGAGGAAUUGUCCUCUUCAUGAACUAUUCUUGAUUGAUUUGAUGCAUUAUUUUUCUAUUUCACAUACCUGAUCUUUAUCUAUUGGUCCCCUCCAUGCUCAACAUAUGAACACAAUGCACUGAUAUGGGACAUUAAUUAUUUGGCUCAAGAUUCGACUGGAACAUCAUGGCAAUAUUUCAUACUCCAGAAUCCACAUUGAAGAGGUAAACAAUAUGCAAUAUGAGCUGAAAAUAAAAUGCAACUGAAUGUUCAGCAGCAUGUACCUGUGAUGAAUUGUAAUGCAAAAACAAAAAAGGUAAGAUUGCAAUGGUACAUGGAGACACUGCACUUGGACACAAGUGUUUGUAGUUUGCACAUAAGUACUUGUGUGUUUAAGAUCUGGGAUGUGAAA
Molecule: long non-coding RNA, 817 nt
Organism: Labrus mixtus (cuckoo wrasse)
Lineage: Eukaryota; Metazoa; Chordata; Actinopteri; Labriformes; Labridae
Exons: 2
Source: RefSeq, a predicted model, not a curated record